This 72-nucleotide transfer RNA is filed under the name Marmota monax (woodchuck). RNAcentral describes it as "tRNA.Undet". The record is from RNAcentral. Lineage: Eukaryota; Metazoa; Chordata; Mammalia; Rodentia; Sciuridae.
GGGGUUGCGGCUCAGUGGUAGAGCACUUGCCUGAGCAUGUGUGAGGUACUGAGUUCGAUUCUCAGCACCACA